UACGUAGGCAGCAAGCGUUGUUCGGAAUUACUGGGCGUAAAGAGUGUGUAGGCGGUGCUCUAAGUUCGGUGUGAAAUCUCCCGGCUCAACUGGGAGGGUGCGCCGGAAACUGGGGUGCUGGAGCGCGGGAGAGGAAAGCGGAAUUCCUGGUGUGAGCGGUGAAAUGCGUAGAUAUCAGGAGGAACACCGGCGGUGUAGACGGCUUUCUGGACCGUAGCUGACGCUGAGACACGAAAGCGUGGGUAGCAAACAGG
RNAcentral lists this ribosomal RNA (254 nucleotides) under uncultured bacterium. RNAcentral describes it as "partial 16S ribosomal RNA". It matches the Rfam family "Bacterial small subunit ribosomal RNA", at positions 524 to 776 of the family's 1533-position model. The record is from RNAcentral.